GACGAACGCUGGCGGCGUGCUUAACUCAUGCAAGUCGAACGGUAAGGCCCUUCGGGGUACACGAGUGGCGAACGGGUGAGUAACACGUGGGUGAUCUGCCCUGCACUUCGGGAUAAGCCUGGGAAACUGGGUCUAAUACCGGAUACGACCCUCGGAGGCAUCUCCUGGGGGUGGAAAGAAUUUCGGUCAAGGAUGGACUCGCGGCCUAUCAGCUAGUUGGUGAGGUAAAGGCUCACCAAGGCGACGACGGGUAGCCGGCCUGAGAGGGUGACCGGCCACACUGGGACUGAGACACGGCCCAGACUCCUACGGGAGGCAGCAGUGGGGAAUAUUGCACAAUGGGCGCAAGCCUGAUGCAGCAACGCCGCGUGAGGGAUGACGGCCUUCGGGUUGUAAACCUCUUUUAGCAGGGAAGAAGCGAAAGUGACGGUACCUGCAGAAAAAGCACUGGCUAACUACGUGCCAGCCGCCGCCGUAA
This 478-nucleotide ribosomal RNA is filed under the name uncultured bacterium. RNAcentral describes it as "partial 16S ribosomal RNA". It matches the Rfam family "Bacterial small subunit ribosomal RNA", at positions 28 to 523 of the family's 1533-position model. The record is from RNAcentral.